UUUCUGACUUUUGUUGAAUUAGCACUUCAGAGGCAAUACUCUUAUUGAUUUCAAGGCCAAUGGCCUGUAUGUUUUCCGCCAAUAAAUGACAACAUCAUUAAAUGAAGUAGAAGAAUCACUUGCAUCAAAAAUCUUUUUUUUUCUUCUUUGAUAAUGUGGAAUCACCUUCGUUUCUAGUUGGUUGUGGUUGUGUAGUUGAAAGAUCCAUGUCAUCCAAAGAAACAUCAGCUUCG
RNAcentral lists this long non-coding RNA (233 nucleotides) under Gossypium barbadense (sea-island cotton). RNAcentral's name for it is "long non-coding RNA (GBAR_LNC006110)". The record is from RNAcentral. Lineage: Eukaryota; Viridiplantae; Streptophyta; Magnoliopsida; Malvales; Malvaceae.